AUAGUGGCGAACGGGUGAGUAACGCGUAAGUAACCUACCUCUAAGUGGGGGAUAGCUUCGGGAAACUGAAGGUAAUACCGCAUGUGGUGGACCGACAUAUGUUGGUUCACUAAAGCCGUAAGGCGCUUGGUGAGGGGCUUGCGUCCGAUUAGCUAGUUGGUGGGGUAAUGGCCUACCAAGGCUUCGAUCGGUAGCUGGUCUGAGAGGAUGAUCAGCCACACUGGGACUGAGACACGGCCCAGACUCCUACGGGAGGCAGCAGCAAGGAAUCUUGGGCAAUGGGCGAAAGCCUGACCCAGCAACGCCGCGUGAGGGAUGAAGGCUUUCGGGUUGUAAACCUCUUUUCAUAGGGAAGAAUAAUGACGGUACCUGUGGAAUAAGCUUCGGCUAACUACGUGCCAGCAGCCGCGGUAAUACGUAGGAAGCAAGCGUUAUCCGGAUUUAUUGGGCGUAAAGUGAGCGUAGGUGGUCUUUCAAGUUGGAUGUGAAAUUUCCCGGCUUAACCGGGACGAGUCAUUCAAUACUGUUGGACUAGAGUACAGCAGGAGAAAACGGAAUUCCCGGUGUAGUGGUAAAAUGCGUAGAUAUCGGGAGGAACACCAGAGGCGAAGGCGGUUUUCUAGGUUGUCACUGACACUGAGGCUCGAAAGCGUGGGGAGCGAACAGAAUUAGAUACUCUGGUAGUCCACGCCUUAAACUAUGGACACUAGGUAUAGGGAGUAUCGACCCUCUCUGUGCCGAAGCUAACGCUUUAAGUGUCCCGCCUGGGGAGUACGGUCGCAAGGCUAAAACUCAAAGGAAUUGAC
RNAcentral lists this ribosomal RNA (806 nucleotides) under uncultured Dehalococcoides sp. Its description in RNAcentral is "bacterial SSU rRNA". It matches the Rfam family "Bacterial small subunit ribosomal RNA", at positions 92 to 914 of the family's 1533-position model. The record is from RNAcentral. Lineage: Bacteria; Bacillati; Chloroflexota; Dehalococcoidia; Dehalococcoidales; Dehalococcoidaceae.